UUAAGUUCAGCGGGUAGUCCUACCUGAUUUGAGGUCAAGUUGGUCAAAAUAAAUGUGUGUUCAAGAAGCGGUCCAAUCUGUUUCAUGCAGCAUACCAAAAGGCAUAGAUAAUUUAUCACACCUAGUAGUCUCCUCUGCUCCAGAUACCACUAAUGCAUUUCAGGGGAGCACACCUCAAAAGAAAGGCCUGCAAAAAAUAA
Molecule: unclassified non-coding RNA, 200 nt
Filed under: Inocybe sp.
Lineage: Eukaryota; Fungi; Basidiomycota; Agaricomycetes; Agaricales; Inocybaceae
Description: partial internal transcribed spacer 2
Source: RNAcentral